This 24-nucleotide non-coding RNA is filed under the name Arabidopsis thaliana (thale cress). The record is from RNAcentral. Lineage: Eukaryota; Viridiplantae; Streptophyta; Magnoliopsida; Brassicales; Brassicaceae.
UCGACCCGACUCUUUCAUCAUAGA